ACGGGGAUAGUAUAGCCUGGUUAGUAUCGGAGACUGUGGAUCUCUGGACGGGAGUUCAAAUCUCCCUCCUCGUC
Molecule: transfer RNA, 74 nt
Filed under: Nanobdellati archaeon
Lineage: Archaea; Nanobdellati
Description: tRNA-His
Rfam family: tRNA
About the family: Transfer RNA (tRNA) molecules are approximately 80 nucleotides in length. Their secondary structure includes four short double-helical elements and three loops (D, anti-codon, and T loops).
Source: RNAcentral